UGAGAAAGAGUCCAGAUUGAGUUAUAAUGGAUGGAUCAGAAAACAGUAGCAUAUUGCAAGUUGGAAGUCAUACAAAAGUCCUGAAAUAUAUCUCAAAAUGUUAGCAAUCCAUGAUAGAGUAGUAUCCUUUGUUGAACACUUACAAUAUGUAGAAAACCGUUCCUGGGACUUGGCAAGAGUUAAUGUGUUCAUCUCCUAUACUGGUUCUGUUUUAGUUGUGCGGUUUUCUUUCUUUGUUUCUUUUCUUCAAAAAUGAUUUUCUAAGCACAGACUCUAAAUGAUGAAACGAGUCUCUGAUGCAGACCAGCUUUGUAUUACUGAGAAUCAUGGCAUGAAAUGGUUAUAGGAAAAAUACCUAUUUACAGAAUUAGUAAGGGAAAAAAAAAAACAAUGUGAUUUCAUAUACAUAAGAACACCAGCUACUCUGGGAAAGCUUACAGGGUUGGAGAACUCUGAACAUGAAACCCUGAUCACUAGAAUGGGCUAGAGAAAUAAUAGCCACUGUUGAAUGAAUGCUGCAGAGCUAUGUUGCCAAGGGGAUGAAAAUGAACACAGAGAACGUAACACAUCCAUAAAAAGAUAGAAAUGUCUUGUUUAGUGCAGAUCUCAUUUGAAAACAACUUUCGGUCCUACAAAUCCAUAUCCCCUUACUGAAGGACACACUGUUAAACCAUUCAUAACCUCCAGGUAUUGGUUAAGACCAGGAUGACAUACUGUGAUUCUUUAUUAUUAUUAUUUUUAUUUUAUAUUAUAAGUGAUAUUCUUUUUUGUUUUUUUCUUUAUUAAUUUAUUAUUUUACACUCUGUAUUUUAUCCAACCCCCGCCCCCAUCCACUCUCCUUCUAUUCCACAUCCCACAUCUUCUCCCCAUCCCCUGUCUCCCCCUGGAUGUCCCCACCUCCCACCCCACCUAAACUCCUUAGGACCUCCAGUCUCAUGAAGGUAAGGUACAUCUUCUCUGAAUGAACACAGGCCCAGCCGUCCUCUACUGUAUAUGUAUUGGGGGAUUCAUAUCAGGUGGUGUAUGCUGCCUGUUUGAUGGUCCAGUGUUUGAGAGACCUCGGGGGUCCAGAUUGAGACUGCUGGUCCUCCUACAGGAUUGCCCUUCUCCUCAGAUUCCUUCAGCCUUCCCUAAUUCAAUAACAGGGGUCAUUUGCUUCUGUCCAUUGGUUGGGUGCAAAUAACUGCCUCUGACCCUUUCAACUGCUUAUUGGGUCUUUGAGAGAGCAGUCAUGAUAGAUUCCUUUUUGUGAGCACUCCAUAGCCUCAGUAGUAAUGUCAGACCUUGGGACCUCCCUUGAACUGGAUCCCUCUUUGGGCCUGUCUCUGGACCUUGUUUUCCUCAGGCUCCUCUCCAUUUCUAUCCCUGUAAUUCUUCCAGACAGGAACAAUUAUGGGUCAGACUUGUGACUGUGAGAUGGCAACCCCAUGUUGAUGUCCUGUCUUCCUGCUGGAGAGUGCUCUAUAAGUCCCCUCUCCCUACUGUCUGGCAUUUCAUCUAAGGUCCCUCCCUUUGAGCCCUGAGAGUCUCUCACCUCCCAGAUAUCCGGUGCGUUUUGGAGGAUCCUCCCAAACUCCUAUUUCUGGAGGUUGCCUGUGACACUUGUCUUCUUAGCAAAGGUGAAAGCAAGGGAAUGAAGUAAGGAUAUGAGUGCCAGAAAAUCAUCAGGAAGUAAUUCUUUGUUAAGAGUUUCCAUAGAAAGCAAACAAAUGCAAACAUAACAUUUUACCUUUCUUGUACUCAUCCCUUGCCCUUCCUUGAUAGAAGUCACAUGGGAAAUGUGAAAAACAAAUGUGGCCAAAGCGACAAGCACCAUAAAGCACAGGAAAUGCUCAGCUUUCAAUCUUCUGUGAAAACUGGACAGCAUCAAUUCUUGAGCAAUGGUACAUUAAAUAGCAAGAAAGAGACCCCAGGGAUUAAGUGCUGGGCUGCAUCAGUCCACUGAAAAUGAAGAAAUGCCUAUUUUUGUACAGAAGUCCAGGGCAUCUGGAGAUCAUGAGCAACUGCAGAAAAUUUUAGUGUGCGAGUUAGACAGUAGAGAGUGUUGCAGAGAGGUCAGCAGAAAUAUCUUUAAGAGAGUGUUCCUCGACAUUUUGCUGGGCUUUGAGCAUGGAAGUAACAAAAGGCCAGCAGGAGCAAUCUGAGAGGUCAAAGUUCUCUUUAUAACAAUGUACCUGGUCAUAAACACGAAAAUGUUCUGCAGAUAGAAGCUCUGCAGAACAAAUAAUAAGAAAGUGAUUGUAAGGUGUACAAAGCAUACAUGUUGUAAAUAAAUGCAUGUCCAGUUGUGAGGUUAGCCACAUACAGUGGCAUACAUUAGUCACAGGACUAAUAUCACUGUAUAGAAAUAGGAAAUGCAAAUGUAAGAGGAAGACUGCUGGAAUGAUGCAGAUCUGUAUGACAUGGCAUCUGGGAAAAUACAAUAAAACAGUUUAGAACUUGUCAGUGGAAUGGUGACACAUUCUCUUUGCAGAUUAUAAUUUGCUUUAUUGAUCUGGUUGAAUUACUUAAAGCCAUGUUUUGAUGUGAUUACACCACAUAUAUCCAAAUUAUACUUUCUUCCUAGAGAGAGGUAGACUUAAUACCUCUUCUACUACUGCAGGUUUGCAUCUAUUUCAUUCCUGAAAUCAGAGAAGCUCAUUAGGGAACUUAACAUGUAAUGCGCAUUGCACAAGAUACUUUUGCAGGGCUCUUCCUUAAUCCUCAUACUGUAUGGCUGAACAGGAACCUGGGACCUCUUUCUAAGGUCACAAGAUUGGAAGUAGCAGAAUUGAGAUGUAAACUGGGGUUCCCCUGGGGCCUGAGGCUGCUAUCCAUUAAGAGAUGCCCCAUCAUUCACAGAAUACAGAAUAGCAGGACAAACCAGGAGGGCACGCAAGAGACAAGCUCUCAGGGAAGAGACCUGAGAGAGGACAGACAAUCCUGGAUAGUCCAUCCAAGAAGACAGUAGACCUGAGUUGACUUGUGCAAAGCCCUAGGAGUAAUAUAUUGCAUACUGAGAGUCUGUUUAAUUCAUCCUAUGAGGAAAAGCAAAGCCUGGUCAUAAUAAGGAUAGGAUUUAAAGAGACAGUAGCCUCGGAAAAUGUGUUAUUGGUACAUUCCAUCAAUGUAAGCAAUCAUCAGAACAGUAUUUUUGUCCUCUCAGCCUGUUAUAAUCCUGAACAUAUAAGUAGGUACCUAAUACUCAUAUGUUUGGUAAAAGAUUGAAAAAUAAAAGAUCAAAGUUUUUAGCUGUAACUUUAUGGAUAAAGAUCUGCAGGACAAAAUUUUCCUAUGUGAUUCUGUCAAAAUCCAGAUAAUAUUUGAAUUAUCUUAUUGAAAAUAUAUUUUUCAUAUAAUAUACUAUAACUAUGGUUUGUAUUCCCCAAACCUUCCCAGGUUCUCCCAAUUUCUCUACUCAUCCAAAUCUACAACUUUUUUCUAUCACUAGAAUAUG
Molecule: long non-coding RNA, 3436 nt
Filed under: Mus musculus (house mouse)
Lineage: Eukaryota; Metazoa; Chordata; Mammalia; Rodentia; Muridae
Description: long non-coding RNA chr13:88912436-88915872
Source: RNAcentral